GUGAACGCUGGCGGCGUGCUUAAUACAUGCAAGUCGAACGAUGAAGUCCUAGCUUGCUAGGAUGGAUUAGUGGCGCACGGGUGAGUAAUAUAUAGUUAAUCUGCCUUGCACUGAGGAACAACAGUUGGAAACGAUUGCUAAUACCUCAUACUCCAACUUUACAUAAGUUAAGUUGGGAAAGUCUUUUCGGUGCAAGAUGAGACUAUAUCGUAUCAGCUAGUUGGUAAGGUAAUGGCUUACCAAGGCUAUGACGCGUAACUGGUCUGAGAGGAUGAUCAGUCACAUUGGAACUGAGACACGGUCCAAACUCCUACGGGAGGCAGCAGUAAGGAAUAUUGUGCAAUGGGGGAAACCCUGACGCAGCAACGCCGCGUGGAGGAUGACACUUUUCGGAGCGUAAACUCCUUUUGUUAGGGAAGAAUAAUGACGGUACCUAACGAAUAAGCACCGGCUAACUCCGUG
This 462-nucleotide ribosomal RNA is filed under the name uncultured bacterium. Its description in RNAcentral is "partial 16S ribosomal RNA". It matches the Rfam family "Bacterial small subunit ribosomal RNA", at positions 29 to 507 of the family's 1533-position model. The record is from RNAcentral.